RNAcentral lists this ribosomal RNA (212 nucleotides) under uncultured prokaryote. RNAcentral's name for it is "partial 16S ribosomal RNA". It matches the Rfam family "Bacterial small subunit ribosomal RNA", at positions 524 to 735 of the family's 1533-position model. The record is from RNAcentral.
UACGGAGGGUGCGAGCGUUAAUCGGAAUUACUGGGCGUAAAGCGCACGUAGGCGGUCAGGCAAGUCGGGUGUGAAAGCCCUGGGCUCAACCUGGGAAUUGCAUUCGAAACUAUCUGACUCGAGUAUGGGAGAGGGAAGCGGAAUUUCCGGUGUAGCGGUGAAAUGCGUAGAUAUCGUGAGGAAGACCAGUGGCGAAGGCGGGUCUCUGGACA